UCUCUGUUAACCUGCAUGCCUGGGCACAAAGGAAUAUGUCAUGUCAUACAGGCUCACUGUUCAACCACACUUAUUGCCUUGUAAUUCUGAAUAUUUCUGUGAUUUGAGAAGACUCUGAUCAGUAAGAAGGAAUUUGGAAAUGUGUUGACACAUUUGUGUGAUGGCACUCACAAUGUUGAGAUGACACUAUGAUACAAACAUAAGUUCAAGCCAGACGGAAGCCCUGGAGGAUGCUAAUGCAGCACUGCAAUAUGCUAAGUUUCAGGAGAGCUGCUUAGUGAGUCCAUUGAAAAUCUCACUCCUGAUGAAGAGAGGAUUUGUGUUUACAGAACAGAAAGUAAGUCACGACCAGUAGUUAAAAAGUAUCUGAUAGUUUUGCCCUUCUUGAUUACUGCAGACACAUUUGCCCUACAAUAGGCAGG
Molecule: non-coding RNA, 422 nt
Organism: Coturnix japonica (Japanese quail)
Lineage: Eukaryota; Metazoa; Chordata; Aves; Galliformes; Phasianidae
Source: RefSeq, a predicted model, not a curated record